CAUCAAGAGAGUUCGUGGAGGGUACACUGACAUGCACAGCAGCUCCUGACACUAUUUGAAAUCGCCAGACCAGAGUGCACACAGGUGGCAUGACGGCUUCAUCUGGAGACAAGGACGAGUUGUAUUCCGGGGAUAGCAUCUCAGGGGAAGAAGCUACAGCAUUGCCCUGAUCUCCGUCUUCAGCCGAGGACAGUUGAGAAGGAACUGAGGGAGUCGGGCCAUGUGCGCGCUGCACAGACUCAAAUGACGCCGCAAGACAACAGCUGCGCUGACCAGGCACUUAUACCGAAGAUCUCUGAUCAACGGCGCCGGGACGCACUGUCACCUGGAGUGGAACACUCACAGGGACAGCACUCAAAGAAGAAAGUAAACUAACCCUCAGCAGGGUAAAGAACUUGUCCGACAUUGUCAAACAAAUAUUUUGUUCCUAUUCACAGAUUUACUUGUAAACUGAUUACAGUAUAUAUAGGGCUUGCUUCAUCCCAUGUGCAUGGGAAAAGGGGUGUCAAUCUGCAAUCCUUCUGCACCCACAGAGGCAACUGUGCCCCAGGGAAAUUCUGUCUCAAGAAGUCUUAGCCCCCACUUCCUAGCCAGAUGGUUCUAAGACUCCGCCAGCUGUGGGCACCCUGGCGGAACAGGAGUUGAUGGCAGCUUCUACCACUGUCUGCUCCUCAC
Terrapene triunguis (Three-toed box turtle) is the source of this 675-nucleotide long non-coding RNA. RefSeq lists it as uncharacterized. The record is from RefSeq and is a predicted model, not a curated record. Lineage: Eukaryota; Metazoa; Chordata; Testudines; Emydidae. The transcript has 3 exons.